GUCCGCGCUGUAAACGAUGAGUGCUAGACGGUGGAGGUAUUGACCCCUUCGCUGCCGAAGCUAACGCGUUAAGCACUCCGCCUGGGGAGUACGGUCGCAAGACUAAAACUCAAAGGAAUUGACGGGGGCCCCGCACAAGCGGUGGAGCAUGUGGUUUAAUUCGACGCAACGCGCAAAACCUUACCUGGGUUAAAUCCGCCGGAACCUGUCUGAAAGGAUGGGGUGCCCUUCGGGGAAUCGGUGAGAAGGUGCUGCAUGGCUGUCGU
This 266-nucleotide ribosomal RNA is filed under the name uncultured bacterium. RNAcentral describes it as "partial 16S ribosomal RNA". It matches the Rfam family "Bacterial small subunit ribosomal RNA", at positions 793 to 1055 of the family's 1533-position model. The record is from RNAcentral.